GAUGAAGAACGCAGCGAAAUGCGAUACGUAAUGUGAAUUGCAGAAUUCAGUGAAUCAUCGAAUCUUUGAACGCACAUUGCGCCCGCCAGUAUUCUGGCGGGCAUGCCUGUUCGAGCGUCAUUUCAACCAUCAAGCCCCAGGCUUGUGUUGGGGUCCUGCGGCUGCCGCAGGCCCUGAAAAACAGUGGCGGGCUCGCUGUCACACCGAGCGUAGUAAUACAUCUCGCUUUGGACGUGCGGCGGGUUCUUGCCGUUAAACACCCCCCUUCUCAAGGUUGACCUCGGAUCAGGUAGGAAUACCCGCUGAACUUAAGCAUAUCAAUAAGCGGAGGA
This 332-nucleotide unclassified non-coding RNA is filed under the name soil metagenome. RNAcentral's name for it is "partial contains 5.8S ribosomal RNA, internal transcribed spacer 2, and large subunit ribosomal RNA". The stretch from base 1 to 120 matches the Rfam family "5.8S ribosomal RNA", at positions 35 to 154 of the family's 154-position model. The record is from RNAcentral.